UACGUAGGGUGCGAGCGUUGUCCGGAAUUACUGGGCGUAAAGAGCUCGUAGGUGGUUUGUCGCGUUGUUCGUGAAAUCUCACGGCUUAACUGUCGAGCGUGCGGCGAUACGGGCAGACUAGAGUACUGCAGGGGAGACUGGAAUUCCUGGUGUAGCGGUGGAAUGCGCAGAUAUCAGGAGGACACCGGUGGCGAAGGCGGGUCUCUGGGCAGUAACUGACGCUGGAGGAGCGAAAGCGUGGGGAGCGAACAGG
RNAcentral lists this ribosomal RNA (253 nucleotides) under uncultured bacterium. RNAcentral describes it as "partial 16S ribosomal RNA". It matches the Rfam family "Bacterial small subunit ribosomal RNA", at positions 524 to 776 of the family's 1533-position model. The record is from RNAcentral.